UAAUACAUGCAAGUCGAACGCUUUGUGCUUAAUUGAUAUGACGAGCUUGCUCUGAUUUGAUUUUUUGAUUUCAAAGAGUGGCGAACGGGUGAGUAACACGUGGGUAACCUACCUCUUAGCAGGGGAUAACAUUUGGAAACAAGUGCUAAUACCGUAUAAUACCAACAACCGCAUGGUUGUUGGUUGAAAGAUGGUUCUGCUAUCACUAAGAGAUGGACCCGCGGUGCAUUAGCUAGUUGGUAAGGUAAUGGCUUACCAAGGCAAUGAUGCAUAGCCGAGUUGAGAGACUGAUCGGCCACAAUGGGACUGAGACACGGCCCAUACUCCUACGGGAGGCAGCAGUAGGGAAUCUUCCACAAUGGGCGCAAGCCUGAUGGAGCAACGCCGCGUGUGUGAUGAAGGGUUUCGGCUCGUAAAACACUGUUAUAAGAGAAGAACGGCACUGAGAGUAACUGUUCAGUGUGUGACGGUAUCUUACCAGAAAGGAACGGCUAAAUACGUGCCAGCAGCCGCGGUAAUACGUAUGUUCCAAGCGUUAUCCGGAUUUAUUGGGCGUAAAGCGAGCGCAGACGGUUAUUUAAGUCUGAAGUGAAAGCCCUCAGCUCAACUGAGGAAUUGCUUUGGAAACUGGAUGACUUGAGUGCAGUAGAGGAAAGUGGAACUCCAUGUGUAGCGGUGAAAUGCGUAGAUAUAUGGAAGAACACCAGUGGCGAAGGCGGCUUUCUGGACUGUAACUGACGU
Molecule: ribosomal RNA, 741 nt
Filed under: Weissella hellenica
Lineage: Bacteria; Bacillati; Bacillota; Bacilli; Lactobacillales; Lactobacillaceae
Description: bacterial SSU rRNA
Rfam family: Bacterial small subunit ribosomal RNA
Source: RNAcentral